GAUGAACGCUGGCGGCGUGCUUAACACAUGCAAGUCGAACGGAAAGGCCGAAGCUUGCUUCGGUACUCGAGUGGCGAACGGGUGAGUAACACGUGGGUGAUCUGCCCUGUACUUCGGGAUAAGCUUGGGAAACUGGGUCUAAUACCGGAUAUGACGAUCUCUUGGAUGGGGUUGUGGAAAGCUUUUGCGGUAUGGGAUGAGCUCGCGGCCUAUCAGCUUGUUGGUGGGGUAAUGGCCUACCAAGGCGUCGACGGGUAGCCGGCCUGAGAGGGUGUACGGCCACAUUGGGACUGAGAUACGGCCCAGACUCCUACGGGAGGCAGCAGUGGGGAAUAUUGCACAAUGGGCGCAAGCCUGAUGCAGCGACGCCGCGUGGGGGAUGACGGCCUUCGGGUUGUAAACUCCUGUCGCAAUCGACGAAGCCUUUUGGUGACGGUAGGUGGAGAAGAAGCACCGGCUAACUACGUG
RNAcentral lists this ribosomal RNA (468 nucleotides) under uncultured bacterium. RNAcentral's name for it is "partial 16S ribosomal RNA". It matches the Rfam family "Bacterial small subunit ribosomal RNA", at positions 28 to 507 of the family's 1533-position model. The record is from RNAcentral.